UACUAACUUAGAAGCCUUUUUACAGUAACAAUCUAAUAUUGUUUAUUUACAAUGUUGUAGUUGCGUUUAUUUUAAAUUGAUAAUGUUUAUUAGUUUGAGUACUUUGCUACCAAAAUCGACUAGUUUCUUUGUAGAGUUUUCUUUAUUUAGCUAUCAUAAACAAGAUAUUAUAGGAAACCUACGACAGUCAUCUUUUUAAUGAUGUAGAGUGUGACAUUUGAUGACAUUUUUAUAUUGGUUUUUAAUAAAUAUUAAGUGGAUCGUGUGUGGAUUAAAUAUGUUAUGAAUAGCCGAUGGCCUGACAAAUGAAAGGAGUUAAGUCUUGCGGUGAGCUGCUGGGCGCGAUCGGGAGCUUGCGUGUGCGUGGUGCUCACAGUCGCGUUUACGGUUUUCAAAAGAAUACGAGUAUUCACUUGGCUUUUGAUUAUUGGAAGCUAUCAGAGGCGUACACAGGCAUGCGUUUAUUUGUGCUGGCAACGAUCUGUCUGGUUUGGGCGGCUCGCAAGCGUUCAGUGAAGAUGUCUGGGCGAGUUAACGCGUGCCCCGCGGCGGCGGCUGCGGUCGCCGCUCAUGUCCGCUUAAUGAGUGUUUUAACUACUGUUGGUAAAUCAUGCUUUUACGUCCUUCGGGCUCAGAUAUACGACGGCGCGACUCACCUGCAUAAUAAGAUUCAGACUUUAAACGCAAUUAUUGCAUGCAAUCAAAAAUAUCAACAACGGAGAGGUUGUACUCUCGAAUCAAUAAAGUUUUAAAGGUUACCAAAAUAUAAGCCAUCCUUUAGUGAGACCAUCAACUAAAACAUGUCGGCACCGAGCCUACAAAGGAUAAUUUGCAUUUAACGACAAUAUUUUAUUCAUACGCACUACAAUCGAAAUAAAUUCGCAAUGUGGUAUCCCGAGCGACGACUUGAAAAUUCGGAUACAAAAAAAUUGGGUUAGCGCAAUUAACCGCCAAAGGUGCCGCGAUUUUGCAGGCGGAUAAUGAAUGGGCAAUCACGCGCCUUUGAUAAGUACAGCGCGUGACCAGAUAGUGAGAGCUGUUGGGUCUCCAGUAGUUGCGUGGUCGUGGCCGGCGUUGGAAAGGCUUCGCGGGCCGUGGGAGGUCAGGAUGGACUGGUGGCGCGCGGCGGGGAGCUGGCGCGGGCAGGUGGCGCGAAGGCCGCGCCGGGACCGGGAGCGCGUCGCCUCCAGUUAAUUGAUUCCAAUCUGAGAAGCGGCUCACUAUAAUUCAUUCCGUAAGUAAGUGUGUAUCCACUCUCGCUCUUCGAUAAUUAUAAUAAAACGGUCAACAGGUAACGGUGUUUUGUAUUUCUAUUGUUAUUUUUGUAUUAACUCAAUUUUAUUUUAAACAAAUGAAACUUAAAUACUGAGGAAAUGAAAAUAAGCUUGCCAAGCUAUCUUAUUCCCCUAAAAGCUUCAAAUCUGUUAUGUCAAACGUGAAAACAGUAACUACUUUUCAAUCCAAACACCUAUACAAUGUCUUCU
Molecule: RNA transcript, 1484 nt
Organism: Trichoplusia ni (cabbage looper)
Lineage: Eukaryota; Metazoa; Arthropoda; Insecta; Lepidoptera; Noctuidae
Exons: 3
Source: RefSeq, a predicted model, not a curated record